AGUGAACGCUGGCGGUAGGGCUAACACAUGCAAGUCGAACGGCAGCACAGUAAGAGCUUGCUCUUACGGGUGGCGAGUGGCGGACGGGUGAGGAAUACAUCGGAAUCUACUUUUUCGUGGGGGAUAACGUAGGGAAACUUACGCUAAUACCGCAUACGACCUACGGGUGAAAGCAGGGGAUCUUCGGACCUUGCGCGAUUGAAUGAGCCGAUGUCGGAUUAGCUAGUUGGCGGGGUAAAGGCCCACCAAGGCGACGAUCCGUAGCUGGUCUGAGGGGAUGAUCAGCCACACUGGAACUGAGACACGGUCCAGACUCCUACGGGAGGCAGCAGUGGGGAAUAUUGGACAAUGGGCGCAAGCCUGAUCCAGCCAUACCGCGUGGGUGAAGAAGGCCUUCGGGUUGUAAAGCCCUUUUGUUGGGAAAGAAAAGCAGCAGGUUAAUACCCCGCUGUUCUGACGGUACCCAAAGAAUAAGCACCGGCUAACUUCGUG
RNAcentral lists this ribosomal RNA (492 nucleotides) under uncultured bacterium. RNAcentral describes it as "partial 16S ribosomal RNA". It matches the Rfam family "Bacterial small subunit ribosomal RNA", at positions 29 to 507 of the family's 1533-position model. The record is from RNAcentral.